Molecule: long non-coding RNA, 445 nt
Organism: Ooceraea biroi (clonal raider ant)
Lineage: Eukaryota; Metazoa; Arthropoda; Insecta; Hymenoptera; Formicidae
Source: RefSeq, a predicted model, not a curated record
CGUAAAUCGCAAUUGUCGCGUGAGCGGCUUGUUCAUGAAAAAUUAUUAAUUAUUAUGCCUCUUGAACCCAUAACGAGAAGGAACAUGAAGCGAGACAUGGAUGUACGCGAUGUACGAUCAAGUUCGAAGACAACCAACCGUAUAUGUUUAAUACAUCGAAGAUCUGUCGAAUCGUUACGCGAGCUUUAGCACAGGCUCCACAUGGACACUCGGCCACGGGGGCCGCCAUUGUUGUAUCCAGAUGGUCGAUAUAUCGUCCUCGGAUCUCUCUAACGCGCGGAUUAGAAAUUCUCUUUUCCAUUAUUCUUUUCUCUCGUUACUUUUCUCUCAUUAUUGUGUAUUUAUCUUUAUUUUAUUGUCGUUUAUUAUCCUUGUUUUAUUUAUCUUGUUAUCUGGUAUCUGUGAUAAUGAUCAUCGACUUUUUCUAUUUUAUACAUAUAUAAAA